UUUCCGUAGGUGAACCUGCGGAAGGAUCAUUAUUGUAUAACCGAGGUGCGAGGGCUGUCGCUGACCCGAAAGGUCGUGCACGCCCGAGUGCCCUCACACACAUCCAUCUCACCCCUAUGUGCACCACCGCGUGGGUCCCCCUUUGGCUUGUUCGGAGGGGGGCUUACGUUUUCACACAAACUUUGUAUGCAGUGUAGAGCGUAUUUUUUGUUUUUGCGAUCACGCAAUCAAUACAACUUUCAACAACGGAUCUCUUGGCUCUCGCAUCGAUGAAGAAUGCAGC
This 283-nucleotide unclassified non-coding RNA is filed under the name plant metagenome. Its description in RNAcentral is "partial contains small subunit ribosomal RNA, internal transcribed spacer 1, and 5.8S ribosomal RNA". The stretch from base 235 to 283 matches the Rfam family "5.8S ribosomal RNA", at positions 1 to 49 of the family's 154-position model. The record is from RNAcentral.